RNAcentral lists this ribosomal RNA (914 nucleotides) under uncultured bacterium. RNAcentral describes it as "bacterial SSU rRNA". It matches the Rfam family "Bacterial small subunit ribosomal RNA", at positions 9 to 916 of the family's 1533-position model. The record is from RNAcentral.
GAGUUUGAUCCUGGCUCAGGAUGAACGCUAGCGACAGGCUUAACACAUGCAAGUCGAGGGGCAGCGAGGGUGAUAGCAAUAUUACCUGUCGGCGACCGGCGCACGGGUGCGUAACGCGUAUGCAACCUACCAUCAACAGGGGGAUAACACUGAGAAAUUGGUACUAAUACCCCAUAAUAUCUCAUGCGGCAUCGCAUGGGGUUGAAAACUCCGGUGGUUGAUGAUGGGCAUGCGUUGUAUUAGCUGGUUGGUGAGGUAACGGCUCACCAAGGCGACGAUACAUAGGGGGACUGAGAGGUUAACCCCCCACAUUGGUACUGAGACACGGACCAAACUCCUACGGGAGGCAGCAGUGAGGAAUAUUGGUCAAUGGACGCAAGUCUGAACCAGCCAUGCCGCGUGCAGGAUGACGGCUCUAUGAGUUGUAAACUGCUUUUGUACGAGGGUAAACCCCGAUACGUGUAUCGGGUUGAAAGUAUCGUACGAAUAAGGAUCGGCUAACUCCGUGCCAGCAGCCGCGGUAAUACGGAGGAUCCGAGCGUUAUCCGGAUUUAUUGGGUUUAAAGGGUGCGUAGGCGGUUUGAUAAGUUAGAGGUGAAAUGUCGGGGCUCAACCCCGAAACUGCCUCUAAUACUGUUGGACUAGAGAAUAGUUGCGGUAGGCGGAAUGUAUGGUGUAGCGGUGAAAUGCUUAGAGAUCAUACAGAGCACCGAUUGCGAAGGCAGCUUACCAAACUAUAUCUGACGUUGAGGCACGAAAGCGUGGGUAGCAAACAGGAUUAGAUACCCUGGUAGUCCACGCAGUAAACGAUGAUAACUCGUUGUCGGCGAUACACAGUCGGUGACUAAGCGAAAGCGAUAAGUUAUCCACCUGGGGAGUACGUUCGCAAGAAUGAAACUCAAAGGAAUUGACGG